AAGGGGAGCACUGGAUCCUAGGCUGUGUCCCGUGCGCCUUGGGAUCCGGGGUCUGUGCUGCUGGAAUCAUGCUCUUGUGGCCGUGCAGCCCCCU
Molecule: microRNA precursor, 94 nt
Filed under: Canis lupus familiaris (dog)
Lineage: Eukaryota; Metazoa; Chordata; Mammalia; Carnivora; Canidae
Also listed under: 1 other name
Description: mir-8799 microRNA precursor family
Rfam family: mir-8799 microRNA precursor family
Source: Rfam by way of RNAcentral